CACGCAUCCUGUAAAAAUAUGGCUGAAAGCACCGACUUACCACACAGAGCGCAAAGGACAGUGAAAACAGCAGCUCAGUAUGCCCGAGGUCAGCCGGGAAGGCAGAGGCAUUUCUGCCCUUCGCCAUUACCCUUCUGCACUUUCAAGGAGCCACCAGUGGGAGCAAGGCAAUGUUGUAAAUCCAGUGAGAGUUUAUAGGCAAACGCGUAAUGUCUCCUGGAAUCCCAAGGAGAACGAACUUGGAGUUGCUCCAAUGUGACUAGGCCUGUGUAUGGGGACAUCAACUACAAAGAGAGGGGAGAGUCGAGUCAGAGGAGCCAGCAGCUCAUGACUGUCCUGUGGACAGCAGGAAAACCCCGUCAAUGGCAACCACAGAGCCUCUGGAGAGGAGACAUCCGUCCUGCUGUUGCUCAUACAAACCCACAUGGAACAGAGGGCUCAGCGUAUUAUCACUCGGGCAUCACAUGUCUAUUGCGAACCUACUCGUUAUUACAUGCAGGAGACUGCCAGAAGGGUACAAAUCAGCGUAAGAUAUGGUCCAGCCCUCAAGGAGCUGAUAAUCUCCAUGAGCAGAGGAUUUAAACAUGAGGACAUCUUGGCCAAAAAAGCGACACAUGAAAGGUAUACAACUUAAGUAUUGUUAGAGCAAUAAAGACAUCCUAGGGAUUUCCUAAAAAAGUGAGAUUACGGGUCCCUGACGUGGGCGGGAGAGGAAGAAAUGACAGAUUUUGAGCAGUGGCACAUCCGAGGGAGUCUCGAGGUAGGACAAUAAUUAUUUCUGAUGUUCAGGAUUUACCCAAACAUCUCGUCGUCCCGGACCCACCUUUCUUCACUGAAGAUACUCUCACCGAGGAAGUGGCCACAGACACAAAUGUUAAAAGUGCUUUUCCUUUUGUUAGGUUUUCAGUUUGUUUGAUUUGAUUUAUUCCUUCCCUGUAGAAGGGUUGGAGGCUGAGUUCGCUGACUUCUGUCAGAAGGACGAGGCAGGGGUGUUGAAGAAACCUCUGAGCACACUGAAUAAUUAUGCUCUGUUUUUCUUUGUAUGCCCUUCUGAUAUCACAGUCAUGGCAGCUCGAACAAGUCAGUGCACAUUCGCAAAAACAAAGUUAAUGAAGAAAUGAGGACUACAUUCAGCUCGUCAUAGUUUUUUCUAAGUUCCUUUGUUAUGUCUAGCCA
This is a long non-coding RNA of Ailuropoda melanoleuca (giant panda), 1176 nucleotides long. RefSeq lists it as uncharacterized. The record is from RefSeq and is a predicted model, not a curated record. Lineage: Eukaryota; Metazoa; Chordata; Mammalia; Carnivora; Ursidae. The transcript has 3 exons.